UACGGAGGGAGCUAGCGUUGUUCGGAAUUACUGGGCGUAAAGCGCACGUAGGCGGCUUUGUAAGUUAGAGGUGAAAGCCUGGGGCUCAACCCCAGAAUUGCCUUUAAGACUGCAUCGCUUGAAUCCAGGAGAGGUGAGUGGAAUUCCUGGUGUAGCGGUGGAAUGCGCAGAUAUCAGGAGGAACACCAGUGGCGAAGGCAGCUCGCUGGGACGGUACUGACGCUGAGGCGCGAAAGCGUGGGGAGCGAACAGG
Molecule: ribosomal RNA, 253 nt
Filed under: uncultured bacterium
Lineage: Bacteria
Description: partial 16S ribosomal RNA
Rfam family: Bacterial small subunit ribosomal RNA
Source: RNAcentral